Molecule: ribosomal RNA, 491 nt
Filed under: uncultured bacterium
Lineage: Bacteria
Description: partial 16S ribosomal RNA
Rfam family: Bacterial small subunit ribosomal RNA
Source: RNAcentral
GUGAACGCUGGCGGUAGGCCUAACCCCUGCAAGUCGAACGGCAGCACAGUAAGAGCUUGCUCUUACGGGUGGCGAGUGGCGGACGGGUGAGGAAUACAUCGGAAUCUACUUUUUCGUGGGGGAUAACGUAGGGAAACUUACGCUAAUACCGCAUACGACCUACGGGUGAAAGCAGGGGAUCUUCGGACCUUGCGCGAUUGAAUGAGCCGAUGUCGGAUUAGCUAGUUGGCGGGGUAAAGGCCCACCAAGGCGACGAUCCGUAGCUGGUCUGAGAGGAUGAUCAGCCACACUGGAACUGAGACACGGCCCAGACUCCUACGGGAGGCAGCAGUGGGGAAUAUUGGACAAUGGGCGCAAGCCUGAUCCAGCCAUACCGCGUGGGUGAAGAAGGCCUUCGGGUUGUAAAGCCCUUUUGUUGGGAAAGAAAAGCAGCAGGUUAAUACCCCGCUGUUCUGACGGUACCCAAAGAAUAAGCACCGGCUAACUUCGUG